AUUGAACGCUGGCGGCAUGCCUUACACAUGCAAGUCGAACGGCAGCACGGGUGCUUGCACCUGGUGGCGAGUGGCGAACGGGUGAGUAAUACAUCGGAACAUGUCCUGUAGUGGGGGAUAGCCCGGCGAAAGCCGGAUUAAUACCGCAUACGAUCUACGGAUGAAAGCGGGGGACCUUCGGGCCUCGCGCUAUAGGGUUGGCCGAUGGCUGAUUAGCUAGUUGGUGGGGUAAAGGCCUACCAAGGCGACGACCAGUAGCUGGUCUGAGAGGACGACCAGCCACACUGGGACUGAGACACGGCCCAGACUCCUACGGGAGGCAGCAGUGGGGAAUUUUGGACAAUGGGCGAAAGCCUGAUCCAGCAAUGCCGCGUGUGUGAAGAAGGCCUUCGGGUUGUAAAGCACUUUUGUCCGGAAAGAAAUCCUUGGCCCUAAUACGGUCGGGGGAUGACGGUACCGGAAGAAUAAGCACCGGCUAACUACGUG
This 486-nucleotide ribosomal RNA is filed under the name uncultured bacterium. RNAcentral's name for it is "partial 16S ribosomal RNA". It matches the Rfam family "Bacterial small subunit ribosomal RNA", at positions 30 to 507 of the family's 1533-position model. The record is from RNAcentral.